AUACGUAGGGGGCGAGCGUUGUCCGGAAUGAUUGGGCGUAAAGGGCGCGUAGGCGGCCCGGUAAGUCUGGAGUGAAAGUCCUGUUUUUAAGAUGGGAAUUGCUUUGGAUACUGUCGGGCUUGAGGGCAGGAGAGGUAAGUGGAAUUCCCAGUGUAGCGGUGAAAUGCGUAGAGAUUGGGAGGAACACCAGUGGCGAAGGCGACUUACUGGACUGUAACUGACGCUGAGGCGCGAAAGUGUGGGGAGCAAACAGGAUUAGAUACCCUGGUAGUCCACACUGUAAACGAUGAAUGCUAGAUGUAGGGGGUAUCGACCCCUUCUGUGCCGCAGUCAACACAAUAAGCAUUCCGCCUGGGGAGUACGGCCGCAAGGUUGAAACUCAAAUGAAUUGACGGGG
Molecule: ribosomal RNA, 397 nt
Filed under: uncultured bacterium
Lineage: Bacteria
Description: partial 16S ribosomal RNA
Rfam family: Bacterial small subunit ribosomal RNA
Source: RNAcentral